Molecule: non-coding RNA, 72 nt
Organism: Phrynosoma platyrhinos (Desert horned lizard)
Lineage: Eukaryota; Metazoa; Chordata; Lepidosauria; Squamata; Phrynosomatidae
Source: the annotation of a GenBank genome assembly
GCCAGUGUGGUGUAGUGAUUAGAGCCUUGGACUAUGACUCUAGAGACCAGGGUUCGAAUCCCGGCGCAGCCA